Molecule: long non-coding RNA, 548 nt
Filed under: Heterocephalus glaber (naked mole-rat)
Lineage: Eukaryota; Metazoa; Chordata; Mammalia; Rodentia; Bathyergidae
Description: lncRNA (ENSHGLG00100039767.1)
Source: RNAcentral
AGGCAGGUCUGCCCACACCCUACCGAGGUCCCCAGUCGCACGAAACACACGCCGAAUCAGCCCGCUGCAGACAGGCAGGUCUGUGCACACCCUACCGAGGUCCUGAGUCUCGCGGAAAGACACCGAAUCACCCCGCUGCAGACAGGCAGCCACCUGAUUCCACACUACAAAGACGCAGAGGACACCAGACCACCAGACCAAGGACUCUAUUCCCCUGCAUUCUGUGAAAUGUCAGAUGUUCUCAAGGGAGAAGCCAGGAGGAGUUGAAACAAAUUUAAGAGUGUUUUUCUUUUUCCCCUAAACAUGAACCAUUCAAGUAAAAUCAACUGAACUAUAGAAAUGUAGCAAAGCAAAGGGAAACCACAACAACCCAAUCAGCAAAGGUUGGGGGGAAGAGGAGGGUACAGUUCACAUAUAACAUGUACAAAUGCCACAUGAUUCAUCUGCUCAGGACGGCCUCCUCAGAAGGCAAGCACAAGGACCCAUUGCAAGAGGAUGUUUCCCCCCAAACGUCUGAGAAUGUUUCAACUUAAAGCUUAAGAUUAAAA